AGAGUUUGAUCCUGGCUCAGAACGAACGCUGGCGGCAGGCUUAACACAUGCAAGUCGAACGCGUGUAGCAAUACACGAGUGGCGCACGGGUGAGUAACGCGUGGAUAUCUGCCUUUGGUUCGGAAUAACUCCGGGAAACUGGAGCUAAUACCGGAUGGUUCCUACGGGAUAAAGAUUUAUCGCCAAAAGAUGAGUCCGCGUACGAUUAGCUAGUUGGUGAGGUAAUGGCUCACCAAGGCGACGAUCGUUAGCUGGUCUGAGAGGACGAUCAGCCACACUGGGACUGAGACACGGCCCAGACUCCUACGGGAGGCAGCAGUGGGGAAUAUUGGACAAUGGGGGCAACCCUGAUCCAGCCAUGCCGCGUGAGUGAUGAAGGCCUUCGGGUUGUAAAGCUCUUUUGGCGGGGACGAUGAUGACGGUACCCGCAGAAUAAGCCCCGGCUAACUUCGUG
Molecule: ribosomal RNA, 454 nt
Filed under: uncultured bacterium
Lineage: Bacteria
Description: bacterial SSU rRNA
Rfam family: Bacterial small subunit ribosomal RNA
Source: RNAcentral